UAAACUAGGGAUUAGAUACCCUAUUAUUGAAAAUGUAAAUUUUAAUGCCUGAGUAUUAGUAGCUAUGUUCUUGAAAUUCAAAGAAUCUGGCGGUAUUUUAGUCUAUUCAGAGGAACCUGUCCUAUAAUUGAUAAUCCACGAUUAAUUGUACUUAUUUUUAGUUUGUAUAUCGUCGUAGUUUGAAUGUUUUAAGAGAAAAAGGAAUGUUCAAGAUUUAUAUUUAAAUAUAAAUGAAAUCAGAUCAAGAUACAGCGUAUAGAUAAGAAGAGAUGGGUUACAAUAAAUUUAUUUAUAUGGUUAAAAUAGUUAACAUUAUUUUAUAAAUUGGAUUUGAUAGUAAUAUAGUUUAGUUUAAUUGUAUGAUUGUAGCUCUAAAAUAUGUACAUAUCGCCCGUCGCUCCCUCCUUAAAGAUGGAUAAGUCGUAACAUAGUAGGUGUACUGGAAAGUGUACCUAGAAUGGCAAAUUAGAGCUUGAUAGAAAGCAUUUUAUUUACAUUAAAAAGUUAGUUGUGAAAAUCAAUUUAAUUUGAAGUGAUUAAUUUAUUGUUUAAUUAUAAAAAAAAUAUUUUUAAUAUUAGUAUAUUUAAGAAAGUAAUUGUUUAAUUAUAGUGGAUAGUAUAGUGAUAGGAGAUUGAAGUAAAGUUUAAUUAGUUAAAAGAAGAAUUUAGUUUUUGUACCUUGUGUAUCAGGGUUUAUUAAAAUAAGUUAUUUAAUAUAAUUUUCUCGAAUUGAAAAGAGCUAUAACGGUAUAAAUUUAAUUGUAGCAUAAAUUUUUAUAAUACAGUUAUUGGAAUGAAACGUUAGUCGUUUUUUAAUAUAUCUAGUUUCUUAAGAAAUAAAUUUAAUUUAAUUUUUUAAAUUCAUUUUAUUGAUUCGUUAGUUUAAUGGUUUAAAUAUUUAAUAUUUUAAGGGAUAAGCUUUAAAAUAAAUUAUUAAAAUAGAAGUUUUGUUAUUUGAAAAUUAGUAGGAUUGGAAAUGUUUAUCUUUAGUUUGUUAUAAUUAAUUUUUAAUUAAAUAAGAUUUAUAUGUUAAUUUAAGUUUUCUAUUAAGAAUACAUAUUGAAUAUAGUUUUAUGUGUAAUAAUGAUAAAAUUAGUAUAGUAUGUUGUAUAUAAUAGUGUAAGAUCAAGGUUGAUUUAAGGAACUCGGCAAAUAUACUUUUCGCCUGUUUAUUAAAAACAUGUCUUUUUGAUUAUAAUUUAAAGUCUAACCUGCCCAAUGAGGAGUUAAAUGGCCGCGGUAAUUUGACCGUGCAAAGGUAGCAUAAUCAUUAGUUUUUUAAUUGAAAGCUGGUAUGAAUGGUUGGACGAGAAAGUGACUGUCUCAAAUCAAUUGUUAUUAGAACUUUAUUUAUAAGUAAAAAAGCUUAUAUAUUUUUAAAAGACGAGAAGACCCUAUAGAAUUUUAUAGUUUAUUAAAUAGAUUAUUAUUAGAAUAAUAAUUUUUUUAUUUAAGAGACUAUUUUGUUGGGGCGAUAGAAAAAUUGAAUUAACUUUUUUUAUAUUAUAUCAUAAAUUUAUGUGUUGAUGAUCCGUUAUUAACGAUUAUAAGAUUAAAUUACCUUAGGGAUAACAGCGUAAUUUUUUUUUAGAGUUCUUAUCGAAAAAAGAGUUUGCGACCUCGAUGUUGGAUUAAAAUUAACUUUUGGUGUAGGGGCUAAAAGGUUAGGUCUGUUCGACCUUUAAAAUUUUACAUGAUCUGAGUUCAAACCGGAGA
This 1716-nucleotide ribosomal RNA is filed under the name Heteronychus sp. NLG-2014. RNAcentral describes it as "partial 16S ribosomal RNA". The stretch from base 1568 to 1716 matches the Rfam family "Archaeal large subunit ribosomal RNA", at positions 2544 to 2693 of the family's 2987-position model. Lineage: Eukaryota; Metazoa; Arthropoda; Insecta; Coleoptera; Scarabaeidae. The record is from RNAcentral.